CAGCAGCCGCGGUAAUACCGGCGCUCCGAGUGGCGACCACGUUUACUGGGCCUAAAGCGUCCGUAGCCGGUUAAGUAAAUCCCUUGUGAAAUUGUCGCACUUAACGCGACAGCGUGCAGGGGAGACUGCUUAACUAGGGACCGGAAGGCGCAGGAGGUAUUCCGGAGGGAGCGGUAAAAUGCUAUAAUCUCCGGAGGACCACCGGUGGCGAAGGCGUCCUGCGAGGACGGGUCCGACGGUGAGGGACGAAGGCUGGGGGAGCAAACCGGAUUAGAUACCCGGGUAGUCCCAGCAGUAAACGCUGUGGGCCAGACGUUGUACAUCCGCUGAGGAUGUGCAGUGUCGUAGCGAAGGCGUUGAGCCCACCGCCUGGGGAGUACGGUCGCAAGGCUGAAACUUAAAGGAAUUGGCGGG
RNAcentral lists this ribosomal RNA (414 nucleotides) under uncultured microorganism. RNAcentral's name for it is "bacterial SSU rRNA". It matches the Rfam family "Archaeal small subunit ribosomal RNA", at positions 459 to 872 of the family's 1478-position model. The record is from RNAcentral.